Molecule: ribosomal RNA, 496 nt
Filed under: uncultured bacterium
Lineage: Bacteria
Description: bacterial SSU rRNA
Rfam family: Bacterial small subunit ribosomal RNA
Source: RNAcentral
GACGAACGCUGGCGGCGUGCCUAAUACAUGCAAGUCGAGCGAACUUGCGGGAGCUUGCUCCCAAAAGUUAGCGGCGGACGGGUGAGUAACACGUGGGCAACCUGCCUGUAAGACUGGGAUAACUUCGGGAAACCGGAGCUAAUACCGGAUAAUUCUUAUCAACUCAUGUUGGUAAGCUGAAAGACGGCGUAAGCUGUCACUUACAGAUGGGCCCGCGGCGCAUUAGCUAGUUGGUGAGGUAACGGCUCACCAAGGCGACGAUGCGUAGCCGACCUGAGAGGGUGAUCGGCCACACUGGGACUGAGACACGGCCCAGACUCCUACGGGAGGCAGCAGUAGGGAAUCUUCCGCAAUGGACGAAAGUCUGACGGAGCAACGCCGCGUGAGUGAUGAAGGUUUUCGGAUCGUAAAACUCUGUUGUUAGGGAAGAACAAGUACGAGAGUAACUGCUUGUACCUUGACGGUACCUAACCAGAAAGCCACGGCUAACUACGUG